GUGCUCACGCGCCGGCGCGUGGUGCGCGUGAGUCGGAUCUACCUUGAUAAAUCUGGCGCGUGAGGGCGCGUGAAGGGCAGUUUUCCGGUGGAGUUUGCUAAGGUUUGGUCGGAUCUCUCUUGGGAACCUUGUGGUGGUGUUGGUCUUUGCACAACACUGAUAAUUAGUGGCUUUGACGCAAUUAGUCACUUUGGUCUCCGGAAAAUUGCACGGUGACCGAGUUAUUUCUUCCCGGAUGUUGUUGGAAUGACGCACAACGAUAAUUAUCUCACCAAAGCUCUGAUACCAUGUGAGAAAGCACGGGAGAAGAAUAUAACUGAGANN
Molecule: long non-coding RNA, 324 nt
Filed under: Nicotiana benthamiana
Lineage: Eukaryota; Viridiplantae; Streptophyta; Magnoliopsida; Solanales; Solanaceae
Description: long non-coding RNA (NBEN_LNC021618)
Source: RNAcentral